This 464-nucleotide ribosomal RNA is filed under the name uncultured bacterium. Its description in RNAcentral is "bacterial SSU rRNA". It matches the Rfam family "Bacterial small subunit ribosomal RNA", at positions 917 to 1382 of the family's 1533-position model. The record is from RNAcentral.
GGGCCCGCACAAGCGGUGGAGCAUGUGGUUUAAUUCGACGCAACGCGAAGAACCUUACCCAGGCUUGAACUGCAGAUGACACCCUACGAAAGUAGGCUUCCGCAAGGACGUCUGUAGAGGUGCUGCAUGGCUGUCGUCAGCUCGUGUCGUGAGAUGUUGGGUUAAGUCCCGCAACGAGCGCAACCCUUGUCUUCUGUUGCCAUCGGGUUAUGCCGGGCACUCUGAAGAGACUGCCGGUGACAAACCGGAGGAAGGUGGGGAUGACGUCAAGUCAGCAUGGCCUUUAUGUCUGGGGCCACACACGUGCUACAAUGGCAGGUACAAACCGUCGCGAGACCGCAAGGUGGAGCUAAUCGGAUAAAGCCUGUCUCAGUUCGGAUUGUCGGCUGCAACUCGCCGGCAUGAAGUUGGAAUCGCUAGUAAUCGCGGAUCAGCACGCCGCGGUGAAUACGUUCCCGGGCCUU